AUUGAACGCUGGCGGCAUGCCUUACACAUGCAAGUCGAACGGCAGCACGGGAGCAAUCCUGGUGGCGAGUGGCGAACGGGUGAGUAAAGUAUCGGAACGUGCCCGGUCGUGGGGGAUAACGUAGCGAAAGUUACGCUAAUACCGCAUACGAUCUAUGGAUGAAAGCGGGGGAUCGCAAGACCUCGCUCGAUUGGAGCGGCCGAUAUAAGAUUAGGUAGUUGGUGGGGUAAAGGCUCACCAAGCCGACGAUCUGUAGCUGGUCUGAGAGGACGACCAGCCACACUGGGACUGAGACACGGCCCAGACUCCUACGGGAGGCAGCAGUGGGGAAUUUUGGACAAUGGGCGAAAGCCUGAUCCAGCCAUGCCGCGUGCAGGAUGAAGGCCUUCGGGUUGUAAACUGCUUUUGUACGGAACGAAAAGGUUUGGCCUAAUAAGCUGAGCUCAUGACGGUACCGUAAGAAUAAGCACCGGCUAACUACGUGCCAGCCGCCGCAGUAA
RNAcentral lists this ribosomal RNA (500 nucleotides) under uncultured bacterium. RNAcentral's name for it is "partial 16S ribosomal RNA". It matches the Rfam family "Bacterial small subunit ribosomal RNA", at positions 30 to 523 of the family's 1533-position model. The record is from RNAcentral.